This 811-nucleotide ribosomal RNA is filed under the name uncultured archaeon. Its description in RNAcentral is "bacterial SSU rRNA". It matches the Rfam family "Archaeal small subunit ribosomal RNA", at positions 85 to 879 of the family's 1478-position model. The record is from RNAcentral.
ACGGCUCAGUAACACGUGGCUAAUCUGCCCUUGGGACCGGAACACCCCCGGGAAACUGGGGCUAAUUCUCGAUAGGUGAAGAACUCUGGAAUGAGUCUUUGCCCAAAAGACGUUUACGUUAUGCUCGUGGGCGUCGCCCAAGGAUGAGGCCGCGACCGAUCAGGUUGUUGGUGAGGUAAUGGCUCACCAAGCCUUUUACCGGUGCGGGCCGUGAGAGCGGGAGCCCGGAGAUGGGCACUGAGACAAGGGCCCAGGCCCUACGGGGCGCAGCAGUCGCGAAAACUUUGCAAUACACGAAAGUGUGACAGGGCUAUCCCGAGUGCCAUCCGCUGAGGAAGGCUUUUACCCAGUCUAGAACGCUGGGGGAAUAAGGAGAGGGCAAGUCUGGUGUCAGCCGCCGCGGUAAUACCAGCUCUCCGAGUGGUGUGGAUGUUUAUUGGGCCUAAAGCAUCCGUAGCUGGCUAAGUUAGUCCCUUGUUAAAUCCAACGAAUCAAUCGUUGGAUUGCGGGGGAUACUGCUUGGCUAGGGGACGAGAGAGGCAGACGGUAUUUCCGGGGUAGGGGUGAAAUCCUAUAAUCCCGGGAAGACCACCAGUGGCGAAGGCUGUCUGCUAGAACGCGCCCGACGGUGAGGGAUGAAAGCUGGGGGAGCGAACCGGAUUAGAUACCCGGGUAGUCCCAGCUGUAAACGAUGCAGGCUAGGUGUUUGGACGGCCACGUGCCGUUCUAGUGCCGCAGGGAAGCUGUUAAGCCUGCCGCCUGGGGAGUACGAUCGCAAGAUUGAAACUUAAAGGAAUUGGCGGGGGAGCAC